UGGGGUGCUCGAGUGGCGAACGGGUAAGUAACACGUGAGUAACCUGCCCUUGACUUUGGGAUAACUUCAGGAAACUGGGGCUAAUACCGGAUAGGAGCUCCUGCUGCAUGGUGGGGGUUGGAAAGUUUCGGCGGUUGGGGAUGGACUCGCGGCUUAUCAGCUUGUUGGUGGGGUAGUGGCUUACCAAGGCUUUGACGGGUAGCCGGCCUGAGAGGGUGACCGGCCACAUUGGGACUGAGAUACGGCCCAG
RNAcentral lists this ribosomal RNA (250 nucleotides) under uncultured Actinomycetales bacterium. RNAcentral describes it as "partial 16S ribosomal RNA". It matches the Rfam family "Bacterial small subunit ribosomal RNA", at positions 83 to 334 of the family's 1533-position model. Lineage: Bacteria; Bacillati; Actinomycetota; Actinomycetes; Actinomycetales. The record is from RNAcentral.